This 253-nucleotide ribosomal RNA is filed under the name uncultured bacterium. Its description in RNAcentral is "partial 16S ribosomal RNA". It matches the Rfam family "Bacterial small subunit ribosomal RNA", at positions 524 to 776 of the family's 1533-position model. The record is from RNAcentral.
UACAGAGGGUGCAAGCGUUAAUCGGAUUUACUGGGCGUAAAGCGUGUGUAGGUGGCUUCCUAAGUCGGUUGUGAAAUCCCGGGGCUCAACCUCGGAAUUGCAUUCAAUACUGCUUCGCUCGAGUACUGGAGAGGAGGCUGGAAUUUACGGUGUAGCAGUGAAAUGCGUAGAUAUCGUAAGGAAGGCCGGUGGCGAAAGCGAGCCUCUGGACAGUUACUGACGCUGAUGCACGAAGGCCAGGGGAGCAAACGGG